Unclassified non-coding RNA from Callithrix jacchus (white-tufted-ear marmoset), 301 nucleotides. It matches the Rfam family "Metazoan signal recognition particle RNA". Rfam says of the family: The signal recognition particle (SRP) is a universally conserved ribonucleoprotein. It is involved in the co-translational targeting of proteins to membranes. The eukaryotic SRP consists of a 300-nucleotide 7S RNA and six proteins: SRPs 72, 68, 54, 19, 14, and 9. The record is from Ensembl. Lineage: Eukaryota; Metazoa; Chordata; Mammalia; Primates; Cebidae.
ACCGGGCAUGGUGGCGCAUGUCUAUAGUCCCAGCUAUUCGGGAGGCUCAGGCUGGAGGAUCUCUUGAGUCCAGGAGUUCUGGGCUGUAGUGCACUAUGCUGAUCAGGUGUCUGCACUAAGUUCAGCAUCAAUUUGGUGACCUCCCGGGAGCGGGGGACCAGCAGGUUGCCUAAGGAGGGGUGAAACGGCCCAGGUCAGAAAUGGAGCAGAUCAGAACUCCCGUGCUGAUCAGUAGUGGGAUCGUGCCUGUGAAUAGCCACUGCACUCCAGCCUGGGCAACAUAGCGAGACCCCCAUCUCUU